CUCACUUUCUUACCCGCACAUAUUUUACUUGAAAAUGACUCCACCACCACUAUCGUUAUCAACGAUGAUGAUACUAUCUCUAAAUUCUUCGACCACAAAUAUCAUCAGGUUGUUGGUUCCUGCAAUGGAUUAUGCUGCUUCGUGCAAGAGUAUUCCAACUCUGAGUAUCGAGAAUUCUCUCUCUGUUUCUGUAACCCAGCCACACGGUCAUUGUCUCAUAAACUAGGUUAUUUUCGCAUUCCACCUAAGCUUCCUGAUUCUCUUUUCAAAUUUUCAUUUGGUUAUGAUAUUUUAACCUCCAAAUAUAAGGUGGUGGCUUUCAGUUCUAGCGAGGUCAGGAUGGUGGUCUCUACUUGAGGAAUUGUCUUAUUUGGUUAGCCGGUGGUACUAGAGCUGUUAACGGUAGUUCAAGGUAUGAAUAAUUUGUGAUUAUAUCUCUCAAUUUGGGGACGGAGACAUACAAAGAGUUGUUGCCCCCUCAGGGUUUUAAUGGAAAGUUUCUAUAUAUUCCAAAUGUUUGUGUGUUGAUGGACUGUCUUUGCAUUUCUCAUCAUUCAAAUGGGAAUAAUAUUGCUAUAUGGCAUAUGAGAGAUUUCGGAGUUGAAGAGUCUUGGACUAAAUUGUUUAACUUUAGUUAUCCUUAUCCCGAUUUUUUUCAGGACCCUUCUCUUACUUGGGAUAUUUCCUGUUGUGGCCGUUACAUGUUCUUGAGAAUGCUAAUACAUUGAUAUUGGCAAAUGGUGAAGGACUAGUAAUUCGCUAUAAUAGUAUUGUUAAAAUUGAUUAAGCAUUGAAGAAUCACAUUCAUACUUGA
This is a long non-coding RNA of Lathyrus oleraceus (garden pea), 814 nucleotides long. RefSeq lists it as uncharacterized. The transcript has 2 exons. Lineage: Eukaryota; Viridiplantae; Streptophyta; Magnoliopsida; Fabales; Fabaceae. The record is from RefSeq and is a predicted model, not a curated record.